Molecule: transfer RNA, 86 nt
Filed under: Deltaproteobacteria bacterium CSP1-8
Lineage: Bacteria; Deltaproteobacteria
Description: tRNA-Leu
Rfam family: tRNA
About the family: Transfer RNA (tRNA) molecules are approximately 80 nucleotides in length. Their secondary structure includes four short double-helical elements and three loops (D, anti-codon, and T loops).
Source: RNAcentral
GCCCGGGUGGCGGAACUGGCAGACGCACGGGACUUAAAAUCCCGAGGCCUUUACGGGCCGUGGGGGUUCGAUUCCCCCCCCGGGCA